UAAACACUGACAGGGGAAGGUUUAGGGCAACAUGAGGAAGGUGCUGGGUUGUGUGACGCGACACAGGUGUUGAAGCGUCGGUAAUCGCAGCCAGGUGUUGGGCUCUACUUACCUGGUGAAGCAUGUUUACUUUUUGAAGAUAAGUUUGAGUGUUGUAUCCAUGAAGAGCGUGUGAGGAGGAAGGGAGGACGGUGAGCCAUUGUGCGGCGGGAGGGUGCAGCCUAAUGGAUAUAUUCUGAGCAGACGUGAUAGUCGUGAUAAAAUCAAUGUUUGCCGCGUGGGAAGUGCUCCGGCUUAGACCAGUCAAAUAAAGAAAACGUUGAAGUGUAGCACAUUUUCCAAGGGAAGCGUAAACAGCAGUGGCAGGAGUCCAGUGGUAGGAGUCCAGUGGUAGGUGGGUGGCGCAGAGCGAGGCAGCGCAGCAGUUAUGCCCCGGGGCAGUUAUAUAAUACGCUCGCUAGUUGUGAGUUCAGCCGACAGGGGCAGCUGUCACGCCGUGCGUGGACAUUGUCAGUUGAGAAAAAUGGGCGUGACCAAGGAGAAGGAAAAUGAAGGGCAGUAGGAGCACCGUGGCCAGCAGGCGGCGGAGGGCCGGCCUAGGUGCCGUGAAGGGUGCCGAGAAAACAGAGGCGAGUUAUUUCUGUACCUUUGUGCGUGGCGGGCGGAGUGCGGCAGUGAAGGGGCGGGCGUGACGUGAGCUGUGCCGCCACUUCUCGUGCAGCCCUCUUAUCUCGCCCGCCUGUCUAUCAGUAGACACGGGCUAGGGAAACUAAGUGCAGUUCGGCAGGCAGCGAUGUGAUGUGUUGUAUGGGGCGUCAAGAAGUGUUGCAGUGGUGGCCUGUGUCCGGAUGGUGCCAAGAGCGAGAGCCACGUGGGGUUCUGGCGCCAGAGGGCCGCCCAUGGGCGUGGUGAUAGAUCACAGCUUGGUAGUGUAGGUGGUAGAGUGGCUCAGUUGUGGACAGACAGUGGAGGAAGGGGGAGAAGUGUUGUGGCGCGAGGAGCGAGUGUUGGGGUGGUGAAGCAACAAGUGUGUGAAAUGUGAGCGACCACCGUAGAGCGUAAUCCAUCAGUCAUUGUGGUAAUCCAGUGGUCCUACCUUACACAGCUUUAUGGUUUGUCACAUUGUCGUGACUUGUGUUCUCUCUGUGGAUACUGAUACCGCCUUACAAGUACGCGUCUUACGUAGCUGUUAUCCUGAAGACGACCGCAGCAGUGUGUUCCUGCGGCAGGAUGCAGUAAGGGCGUCACCGGACUCGUGGCCUGGCCAUGGGUUAGCACUCCCGUUAUGUAGGGGCCAUGGGAGAAGACGAUGAUACCUUGCUGCUGAGUGGAGACAUAGUGACGUUAGGCGUGGGAUCGUGCUCACUCUUGUCUGCCGUGUAGUGCCCCAACCUGUGACCGCAGCCAUGGCUGUAUGGCUCAUUUGCAUCACGGAGACUAUUGACCGCUAUCUGGGGUGAGUAUAUUGGACGAGUUCCCAGGUGUGGCAGCUCCCCUUCCACCUCCGGCUGUGCCUCGCUGUGGAGGGGUGAGCGCGAGGCAGUGAGGCAGAUAGACGCUGUGUACAGGAAACGGGCAUGUAAAGGUGUACAGUACAUUCGCACCUGUCUUUUAGUAUCUUACUUGAAGGGGAGCACGUGCUGACUUGUGCUAGGGAAAGGGGAGAGGGGUGGUACUCUGACCUUAUGGUGGGGGGUUGUGGAGGCGGUGGUGGAGGGGGCAGGUGUAGAUCUUCGUGAAGGCAAGGGUAGGAGAGGCUGAGGUGGUACUGUACAGUCACACUCACCCCUCUUCGCGGCCUUCCCUCCUUCUCGCUACACCCGCUUUGGGGAUUAAUGGCCCGGGGCUUUUCAGUAAUUGUCUCCCUUGUGGGGUGUCCCUGGCGCCAGUGUAAGGUCUAAUUGGGCGAUAAUUUUUCAGUAAGUGGAACACGUCAUACGAUGUUGGAGUAAUUGGGAGUCACUUUCCUUGAUGCUGGGUUUGCCUUAGCCUCAGUGUUUUACGGAGACCCUUUAUUGUCCUCUGCGAUGACUGGUGACUGACGCAGAGAGAGAGAGAGAGAGAGAGAGAGAGAGAGAGAGAGAGAGAGAGAGAGAGAGAGAGAGAGAGAGAGAGAGAGAGAGAGAGAGAGAGAGAGAGAGAGAGAGAGAGAGAGAGAGAGAGAGUGUUGAAUACUAAA
Long non-coding RNA from Scylla paramamosain (green mud crab), 2179 nucleotides. RefSeq lists it as uncharacterized. Lineage: Eukaryota; Metazoa; Arthropoda; Malacostraca; Decapoda; Portunidae. The transcript has 3 exons. The record is from RefSeq and is a predicted model, not a curated record.